RNAcentral lists this long non-coding RNA (1594 nucleotides) under Mus musculus (house mouse). RNAcentral describes it as "long non-coding RNA chr18:55081656-55083250". The record is from RNAcentral. Lineage: Eukaryota; Metazoa; Chordata; Mammalia; Rodentia; Muridae.
AGCCAGAUGGUAGCCAGUUAUCAGCCAUAGAGAUUUAUAAUUUCUCUCCUGCUUUUUUUUUUUUUUUUUUUAAUUCUAUGGACAAAGAACGGGCUUCAGUUUAUCUUAUUUUGCUUGUAGACCUGAUUAUGCAGUGAAGUUGCUUCCCAGUAGGACUUUCCUGGCUUCCCUUGUUUAUUUUUGAAGAGUAGGUUGUGUUUCAAGUGUAAAGCCCACCUUAGGACAAAGACCUUGAUCAUGCCACAUAGUAAAUGCCACAUAUUUCUGUUUGGAGAUACAAUUUUUAAAAUACCACGGCUAUGAAAGUAGUUAGAAAAAAUGAAAAAGUUCUUCUCAAGCCUUUUGUUGUAAAAACAAUGCUACUUUAGGGAUUAUCAUGACAGGACCCUCUUUUGCGUUACUUCGGAUAAUGCUGUUCUUUUGUACUCCCCCCAACCACCAGAAUGGCAAAAGAUGGUCAGAGAUGCUCAAGAACUCAUCAGUGAGAAGUCAUACAGGCUUAAGGAUUAGAUAAUUUUAGUUGGAACUUCUUGAGGUCUCCUAACAGGAGGUUUUGUUUUGUUUUGUUUUUUAAAUAUUUAUUAGCAAAAGUUUCACUCUUAGGAGGAAUAGGACUUCAGGUGAGAUUAUGAUAUGAUUCUCAAAAUAAAGACAAUAAAUAUGCCUGCCUAUCACACAAAAAGGGAGUUCUUUUGCUCUGAUUUAACUUUCAAGAGAACUGUGGCAGCAUAGUUUGUGUACUUUGGACAUUCGGAUGAAAUAGCACCGCUGUGGACAGAGCCUUGAGGAGAUUUGCAAGUCUUUCUGUUCUAUUUUACAGACCACAGUGCUGAAGGCACCACAGUGCCACAGAAGAGAAAGAUGCUAGCAACUCCCAUAUGACUCUUCUUUAAUUUAACUCAAUUUAACACACUGCCAUAAAUCAAUGGAAUUCAAUUUAAUUAAACCCUGAUCAAUUAUAUGGUGGAAGCAUAAAGUGAGGCUGCUUCUAUUGGGGAAAGUAUAUAUGGAUGUUCACAAGAGAAGAGCAUGAGUCACGCUGCGUAAAUGCUAAGGUGCUUGACAUGGGACACAGUUAAACCUGCAUCAUAGUGUUUGCUUGAGUUUAAUUGGAUUUGCAGAAGGUGUUCCCGAAACGCCCUCAGGAGCCGAUGCCUGGCACCUGCACAGCAUCCCCCACAAAGGGGAAAUCGGAGACGAUUGUUUACAGAGAAAUCAGUUCAACAUCCAAACUUCAUCUGUGCACUUCAACUAUGAGAUAUAAAUUAAUGUUCUUGUCACUGUGGAGGGGAGCUUUGUGCCCCUCUUCCUCUUCUCUUUCUUCGUCUUGUAUCUCAUGGUUUUCUGUAUCCCCGGAGUAAUUUAUAAUGACUGUAUUAUUUAAUCUAUUAUAAAACUCCAAGCACAGUGAAUGACAUUUAGCCUUUGAUGAAUCUGGGCAUUGAAUUACCAGUGUCUCAGAAGUUGUUCAUGGCUACUUCUUAAUGUUUUACCUUGUUCACAUUUUUUUUCUUUUUAUUCAAUUUUCUUUGAAAACUGAAAAGUCCCAUUAAGUAUAAUGGAUGUAAUAAAAUCUGGGUUUUAGUCGCAAAGU